RNAcentral lists this ribosomal RNA (1929 nucleotides) under Listeria monocytogenes. RNAcentral's name for it is "partial 23S ribosomal RNA". It matches the Rfam family "Bacterial large subunit ribosomal RNA", at positions 1001 to 2925 of the family's 2925-position model. Lineage: Bacteria; Bacillati; Bacillota; Bacilli; Caryophanales; Listeriaceae. The record is from RNAcentral.
AGAUCCGUAGUCGAAAGGGAAACAGCCCAGACCACCAGUUAAGGUCCCCAAAUAUAUGUUAAGUGGAAAAGGAUGUGGGGUUGCUUAGACAACCAGGAUGUUGGCUUAGAAGCAGCCACCAUUGAAAGAGUGCGUAAUAGCUCACUGGUCGAGUGACCCCGCGCCGAAAAUGUACCGGGGCUAAACAUAUUACCGAAACUGUGGAUGAACCUCUUUAGAGGUUCGUGGUAGGAGAGCGUUCUAAGGGCGGUGAAGUCAGACCGGAAGGACUGGUGGAGCGCUUAGAAGUGAGAAUGCCGGUAUGAGUAGCGAAAGAAGGGUGAGAAUCCCUUCCACCGAAUAUCUAAGGUUUCCUGAGGAAGGCUCGUCCGCUCAGGGUUAGUCGGGACCUAAGCCGAGGCCGAUAGGCGUAGGCGAUGGACAACAGGUAGAGAUUCCUGUACCAGUGCUAAUUGUUUAACCGAUGGGGUGACACAGAAGGAUAGGGAAUCGCACGAAUGGAAAUGUGCGUCCAAGCAGUGAGUGUGAGAAGUAGGCAAAUCCGCUUCUCGCGAAGCAUGAGCUGUGAUGGGGAAGGAAAUUAAGUACGGAAGUUCCUGAUUUCACGCUGUCAAGAAAAGCCUCUAGGAAGAGUAGUACUGCCCGUACCGCAAACCGACACAGGUAGAUGAGGAGAGAAUCCUAAGGUGAGCGAGAGAACUCUCGUUAAGGAACUCGGCAAAAUGACCCCGUAACUUCGGGAGAAGGGGUGCUCUAUUAGGGUGCAAGCCCGAGAGAGCCGCAGUGAAUAGGCCCAGGCGACUGUUUAGCAAAAACACAGGUCUCUGCAAAACCGUAAGGUGACGUAUAGGGGCUGACGCCUGCCCGGUGCUGGAAGGUUAAGAGGAGUGCUUAGCUUCGGCGAAGGUACGAAUUGAAGCCCCAGUAAACGGCGGCCGUAACUAUAACGGUCCUAAGGUAGCGAAAUUCCUUGUCGGGUAAGUUCCGACCCGCACGAAAGGCGCAACGAUCUGGGCACUGUCUCAACGAGAGACUCGGUGAAAUUAUAGUACCUGUGAAGAUGCAGGUUACCCGCGACAGGACGGAAAGACCCCGUGGAGCUUUACUGCAACCUGAUAUGGAAUGUUUGUACCGCUUGUACAGGAUAGGUAGGAGCCGAAGAGACGUGUGCGCUAGCAUACGAGGAGGCAAUGGUGGGAUACUACCCUGGCUGUAUGACCAUUCUAACCCGCCACGCUUAGCGCGUGGGGAGACAGUGUCAGGUGGGCAGUUUGACUGGGGCGGUCGCCUCCUAAAGAGUAACGGAGGCGCCCAAAGGUUCCCUCAGAAUGGAUGGAAAUCAUUCGCAGAGUGUAAAGGCACAAGGGAGCUUGACUGCGAGACUGACAAGUCGAGCAGGGACGAAAGUCGGGCUUAGUGAUCCGGUGGUUCCGCAUGGAAGGGCCAUCGCUCAACGGAUAAAAGCUACCCCGGGGAUAACAGGCUUAUCUCCCCCAAGAGUCCACAUCGACGGGGAGGUUUGGCACCUCGAUGUCGGCUCGUCGCAUCCUGGGGCUGUAGUCGGUCCCAAGGGUUGGGCUGUUCGCCCAUUAAAGCGGCACGCGAGCUGGGUUCAGAACGUCGUGAGACAGUUCGGUCCCUAUCCGUCGCGGGCGCAGGAAAUUUGAGAGGAGCUGUCCUUAGUACGAGAGGACCGGGAUGGACACACCGCUGGUGUACCAGUUGUUCCGCCAGGAGCAUCGCUGGGUAGCUAUGUGUGGCAGGGAUAAACGCUGAAAGCAUCUAAGCGUGAAGCCCCCCUCAAGAUGAGAUUUCCCAUUUCUUCGGAAAGUAAGAUCCCUGAAAGAUGAUCAGGUAGAUAGGUUUGGAGUGGAAGUGUAGCGAUACAUGGAGCGGACAAAUACUAAUCGAUCGAGGACUUAACCAAAA